Molecule: long non-coding RNA, 1688 nt
Organism: Brassica oleracea var. oleracea
Lineage: Eukaryota; Viridiplantae; Streptophyta; Magnoliopsida; Brassicales; Brassicaceae
Exons: 5
Source: RefSeq, a predicted model, not a curated record
ACAUAAUGACGAUAUCAUUUUCCCUCUUCCGCUCUUCCACUUCACCAUAGUCGUUGCCGAUUCUUCAAAUCACUGUUUCUUUUGGAUUUAUUACAAUCUACUCUCAAUCAUUCAAUCGAGAUCUUUACUCUUAUCUUGAUGAGCCAAUGCUAUCCGUCCACCUCCCUUUUAUGACUCCUUCUCUUAUAUAAAUCCUUUCGUAGACGAGCCUGCUAUGUACUUUACUCCGCUUGUAAUUUUUUUUUAUACCCGUCGAAGCCAUGGCCUCAAAUCCAGACGGAUCAAAAUUAAUUAUCGUCAUGAAUCAAUGCUGUCUUCCACUACCUCCAUACAUAAGUUGAUGACUCCUUCCAGAGUUAAGACUUAUCCUCACACCAGGUUUCCGCCGGCUGGCCUACGUGGCUGACAAGCGUCUCUGGCGAAGCUAUACUCGGUCGGGUUCAAUUUCGAUCCGAUACUUUUGAAAAGAGAUUGAUUUCAGAUUUUCCCUUUUCAUAACACUAAUAGCAACCAUGAAUGGUAAAGGCAGCGAAAAGCAGGAACAUACCACCAUGAUGGUUUUCAUGGACAGAGAUUAUACGAAGAAGAAAGUUUGAAGCUUAGUAGCUGAGUAGCUGAGUCUUCGAAGUUUCUGUACGCCCUUCCGGUGACUAAAGACAAGGGCAUUAUGAGACAUGCCUGGCCUCAAAAGAUGUCAAGUCCUUUGAUUUGCCAAAAAAGAAGCUCAUGCUAAGAUUAGAUACAUUCGGAAUAAAGACUAACGAAGAGGUAAAUCUAUACAAUGAAAAAAAAUUUAGAGAUUGACUUUGUUGAACAACAAUGAAAAAUUUAUGUUGGUCAAAGGUCAUUGUUAAUACUCGGAGAAACUACAUGGAUGGUCAUAUAUCCCAGUUGUGACCUCUUUGUUUGAAGAUCCAAAAUACGCAUCAGACAUAUAGGAUAUACUAAAACAUGAUACACUUCCUUCACCAAACACAUCAACAUCAAUAUUUCAACACAAGGUGAUCUCUCCCUCGCCAACUGAGUUUACAGCUUUCGGACAAUUAUAAACAUUUUAUGAACUUCCCUUUUUUUGGGUACCGUGGCCUUUUUUUGGGUAUCGUGGAUAAUUUACGGCCACGAGAAAGAGCAUUCUUUCUCUUCGACGUUGCACACAUGCUUCAUCUUAGGCUUUAGGAGCUUCCUCCACAUUUUCUUCUGCCUUCCAUAAUGGAUGUGGCAAGGGUUUAUAGAAUCAACAUUAUCAUGCCGUUGUAGUAGUCGUUUAGUAAAUGUGGUGUAUGUUGUCUAUAGUUUCGAUGUGAUGUUGAGACAAUUUUUUAUGAUGCACCUUAAUGAAGAAAUAUGUUGAAUUGAAGCUCCAAGAAGCAGCAAAAGAUAGAAGUCAAAACGAUUCUGAGACUAAGAUUGGCCUUGAUCUAAGUAAAAAGAAACAAGGUUGAGGUCGGUCUUCCUCAACAGUCAAAGUGCGUCGUUCUAAAACCAAUAAUAAUUAUUGCUAAAUCUCAGUUUUGGGCUGCAGCAGUACCAGCUGCAAAAUGCAUCGGGAUGUCUUUGAUGAAAAGGCUAAGGUUAUUUAAACCAUUUGAUCUUACAUGCAACCGCUCUCCCCAGCAUCGAGGCUUUUUGUAUACUCCCUCCGUUUCAUUAUACUUGAUGUUUUAAAGAAGUUUUAUUGUUUCAUAAUA